GCCAAAGUGGGAGCCCAGGCAGAGGAGGCGCCGAGAGCUGCCAGUACGCUGUCACCUCUCAAUUGUCCCCUGCUAGAAUAACAGAGUAAUUGAUAAUCAUGGCCAUAAGAGGGGUGGGGGGGCAGAGUCAGGAAUUUCUGCACUAUGUGGCACAAGGAGCUCCCUGAGGCCUCUCCAGAAGCAGAUGCCAGCACCAUGCUUCCUGUAAAGCCUGCAGAACCAUGAGCCAAUUCUUCUUUUCUUGUCUUGCUGCUGCUCCCUCUUUGGGUCCGCACUGCCUUUAUGAGCUGUAACAGUCACCGCGAAGGUCUGCAGCUUCAAUCCUGAGGCCAGCGAGACCACGAACCCACCAGGAGGAAUGAACAACUCCGGAUGGGAGGAACGAACAACUCCGGAUGGGAGGAACGAACAACUCCAGACGCGCGCCGCUUUAAGAGCUGUAACAUUCACUGCGAAGGUCUGCAGCUUCACUCCUGAAGCCAGCGAGACCAUGAACCCACCAGAAGGAAGAAACUCCGAACACGUCCGAACAUCAGAAGGAACAAACUCCAGACACACCAUCUUUAAGAACUGUAAUACUCACCGCGAGGUUCGGCAGCUUCAGUCUUGAAGUCAAUGAGUCCAAGAACCCACCAAUUCUGGACACAGUAGGAUAGUGUGUUAUGAAGAUGUAUUUAUUAGGAGGUAAGCCUCCUCGAAAAAAUCAAAAGACCUUUGUUGCACCAAAUUCCUUGCUAUAAUGAUUCCUGUUAGAGUGAAACGCCUAUUUGCUUCCAGAGUAUAAAUUUCAUUCCAAUUGGAGGAAAAGGCUUAAAUGACUUCAAGAAACACAUUGUAAAUUUGCCACCUCUUUUGCAUUUUCCUGAGAUAUUUUCCUCAAGGAAUUGACGUGCAAAUCACCAAGGUCUACAUAUUUUUCCCAUUACCUACAAAAGUAGUGACUAUACCAAUUAGAAAUUUUGUUCACUAGUAAAAAAUCAAUAAGAGUACACUGCUUGGACACUUACAUAAGAAGUUAUAAUUUUUUUUUCUUUCUGAAUCAUUUCUCCUAAGCCGUUUUCUACUGACAGGAGUCUGUCUCUUCACAUUAGUGACAGGAAGAAAUAAUUAAGUGUAAGUUGUCACUUGUGAUCGGAAGAUCCAUGAAGUAAAAGUGAACUAAGUGGGGCAGAUGAAAUCCUGGCUGUCCUCUCUACAUCUGCUGAAAUAGACUUAGGAAUCAUCUCUGAAACAUUCCCACUUCUAAUUUCCAGAAUUUAUGUGGAUUACAAAUGAGAAUAAUCUAGAUUUUUCUUGUAGAAUCUUGAAGAGGCAUUCUUUAUUUUUAAUCACUUACCCUUAGGAAUAUCCUCAGAAUGUGCCUGAAAUUAGGACAAAUCUAUGUAUUAUAGUUAGAGUGAAAUAUUAGUAAUUGUUUAAUGUCACUACGCCUAACUUAACUGUUAGUGUGAAUUUUGAGUGGAUAAAUAAGGAAUAUUUAUUGCUCUCAUUGUUCAUUCAUUCAACAAGCAUUUAGUGAAUACCUUCCAUAUACCAGAGAUUUUUCAAGUAAUUGAGAAAAUAAAGAUAAUUAAGAUAGUUCACCUCAAGUUUCUCCCAGUUUAGAAGAAGAUAAAUUAGAAAAUUGAUGGUUAGAAUAUAGCAUGGUCAGAGCUAUGGGAAAAGAGAAUAUCAUAUGAGACUGGUGAACAGACAUGAGGAUGCAAUGCUUGUUCUUGGUCUGGAAGGAUACUUUGGAGCUAUUUAGGAGACUAAUGAUGGAAGACUUUGCUGGGUUGGGUAAAAUGUAGCAACUGCAAUAAUAGAGAAAAUUGCAGAAAAAAGGCCAGUGUCUGUCUAUUCUGGCUGCUGUAACAAAAAUACCCUAGACUGGAUGGCUUAUAAACAACAGAAAUUUAUUUCUCAUAUCUCUAGAUCCUGGAAUGUUCAAGAUUAAGGUGCUGGCUGAUUUAGUGUCUUUUGAGGGCCUGUUUCUUGUUGCUUCGUGGGAUGGUGUAAGGAACAAAGCAACUUUCUGGGCCAUCUUUUAUAAAGGCACUAAUACCAUGCACAAGGGCUCUGCACUUACGAUCUAAUCACCUACCAGAGGCCCCACCUCCUGAUAUCAUCACCUUGAGAGCGAGGAUCUCAACAUAUAAAUUUUAGGAGAACACAAAUAGACCAUAGUCACCAACAACUGCAAAGUCAAGUAGAUAUGAGGCUGCACCUCUGGGGAGCAGCAAGUAAUGUGGUCUAGCUGGGGAGAAGGGUAAGGAAGGAAUAAUGUAGGAGGUGAGCCUGAAGAAAGAGAGGCAAUGGUCAGAUCAUAAAGCCUCAAAUGCUUCCCUGAGAAGUUUGCAUUUUAUUCUGAAGAUUAUAGGAGGGCACUGUAGAUUUCCAAACAUGGCUAGUUUUGUAUUUUACAAGGAUUACUCUGGUAUUAAGAUAUUAGCAAGACUGGGGAUAAGGGACCAGUUAAGAAGAGAAAAAGAAGGAAUGAAGAUGCCCUCCCUUCAUCUCCAUCUUUUUAAUGGAAAGAUGGUUGUGCUUCUACCUGAAAAUGGAAAUAAUGAGAAGAAGCGACUUUCUUCUUUGGGAGGUGGAGGAUGAAGAGAAAGGCCAAGUUCAAUGUCACUGAAAACAGGACAGAAGGCUCUGAGCUAUGUGCUCUGCUAAGUGGAACUAUUUUGUUUACAUGCACCAACGCCCCAUUUGCAGAGAACCACGACGUAAUCAGUGCAAGAUACACAAAGAUGAGGAAGUUUGGAUUAAGAAACCUGCCCAGGCUCGCCCGCUAGAAAGUCAUAGAGGCAAGG
RNAcentral lists this long non-coding RNA (2795 nucleotides) under Homo sapiens (human). RNAcentral describes it as "HSALNT0127509". The record is from RNAcentral. Lineage: Eukaryota; Metazoa; Chordata; Mammalia; Primates; Hominidae.